Molecule: ribosomal RNA, 204 nt
Filed under: Foraminifera environmental sample
Lineage: Eukaryota; Foraminifera
Description: partial Bacterial large subunit ribosomal RNA
Rfam family: Bacterial large subunit ribosomal RNA
Source: RNAcentral
AAAGCUGGUCAUAGUGACCCGGUCUUCCUAUUUAGAAAAGGAGAUCGAUCAACGGAUAAAAGGUACUCUAGGGAUAACAGAGUAAUAUCCCCCGCGAGUUCGCAUCUACGGGGAUGCUUACUACUUCGAUGUCGACUUACCACAUCCUGGAUACGAAGCAAUAUCCAAGGGUUCGGGUGUUCACCGAUUAAAGUGGUUCGUGAG